GCUCCAAUAGCGUAUAUUAAAGUUGUUGCGGUUAAAAAGCUCGUAGUUGGAUUUCUGUCAAGAACAGCCGGUCCGCGUUAUGCGCGUGUAUCUGGUUUGUUCUCGGCAUCCUUCUCAUGAGCGUUGCUGCGCUUAACUGCGUGGUGCGUUAUUGAGAACUUUUUACUUUGAGGAAAUUUGAGUGUUUACGGCAGGCAAUC
RNAcentral lists this ribosomal RNA (200 nucleotides) under uncultured eukaryote. Its description in RNAcentral is "partial 18S ribosomal RNA". It matches the Rfam family "Eukaryotic small subunit ribosomal RNA", at positions 588 to 789 of the family's 1831-position model. The record is from RNAcentral.